GGAGGUCCGCCUGCCCAGUGACUAAAAGUUUAACGGCCGCGGUAUCCUGACCGUGCAAAGGUAGCGCAAUCACUUGUCCCUUAAAUAGGGACCUGUAUGAAUGGCAUAACGAGGGCUUAACUGUCUCCUCCUCCAAGUCAGUGAAAUUGAUCUGCCCGUGAAGAAGCGGACAUAAGAAUGUAAGACGAGAAGACCCUAUGGAGCUUAAGACAUAAAAUCAACCAAGUUUAACCACUUCGCAUUUAAGAAGGGAAACACAAUGGCAACUGAUUAUCGUCUUCGGUUGGGGCGACCGCGGGGAAAAACAAAACCCCCAUGUAGAAUAGGAGAAAUCCUAAACUAAGAUAAAACCCAUCUAAGUCAUAAAAUAUUUAACUAUCAAUGACGCCCUCCAGGCCGAUCAACGAACCAAGUUACCCUAGGGAUAACAGCGCAAUCCUCUUUUAGAGUCCAUAUCGACAAGAGGGUUUACGACCUCGAUGUUGGAUCAGGACAUCCUAAUGGUGCAGCCGCUAUUAAGGG
RNAcentral lists this ribosomal RNA (522 nucleotides) under Parakneria sp. 'R.Malagarassi'. Its description in RNAcentral is "LSU rRNA". It matches the Rfam family "Bacterial large subunit ribosomal RNA", at positions 1849 to 2571 of the family's 2925-position model. The record is from RNAcentral. Lineage: Eukaryota; Metazoa; Chordata; Actinopteri; Gonorynchiformes; Kneriidae.